Long non-coding RNA from Exaiptasia diaphana, 401 nucleotides. RefSeq lists it as uncharacterized. The record is from RefSeq and is a predicted model, not a curated record. NCBI's taxonomy places the organism in Eukaryota, Metazoa, Cnidaria, Anthozoa, Actiniaria, Aiptasiidae. The transcript is spliced from 3 exons.
CUAAAAGCAAAACAUGGAGGAAAGUGCUGAAAAAAUGCUUUAUUUUACACACUUCAAAGCUAGAAGAAAGCUAAAAAAYACUCAUGUAGUGUAUUUAAAAGUUGAAUGAACAUUUUGAGCCAUAAAAAAGGCUUGCAAGAAGUAUACAUGUACAUAAUAUUGUGUGCUAGACAUGCAAUUGUACAAAGAAUACAGCACAACCUUCCAUAUGCACUACUGAUAUGCACAGUAAAACCAUGUUAAUAAUGGCUGACCAUGACAUACCACAGUAUGAUGUGAAUACUACAGUCAGCCAAGGGAAUUAUUACAAUGAUAUUUAGCUUGACAGCAAUCAUGAUACCAUUGAUGUGAGAUGUUAGUCUCACUAUAACACCAUGUCAAGCUACAGCCAUCAACCAAGU